Molecule: ribosomal RNA, 398 nt
Filed under: uncultured bacterium
Lineage: Bacteria
Description: bacterial SSU rRNA
Rfam family: Bacterial small subunit ribosomal RNA
Source: RNAcentral
UCGAGAAUCUUCGGCAAUGGGCGAAAGCCUGACCGAGCGAUGCCGCGUGCGGGAUGAAGGCCUUCGGGUUGUAAACCGCUGUCGUAGGGGAGAAAGGGUCGUUGAAGAAACGACUUUGAUCUAUCCUAGGAGGAAGUCCGGGCUAAGUUCGUGCCAGCAGCCGCGGUAACACGAACCGGACAAACGUUAUUCGGAAUUACUGGGCUUAAAGGGUGCGUAGGCGGUGCGGUAAGUGCGGUGUGAAAUCCCACGGCUCAACCGUGGAAUUGCGCUGCAUACUGCCGUGCUAGAGGGAGACAGGGGUAAGCGGAACUGAUGGUGGAGCGGUGAAAUGCGUUGAUAUCAUCAGGAACACCAGUGGCGAAGGCGACUGACUGGACAAGUAUUGACGCUGAGGU